CAAGAGGAUUUGGAGUAUGAGAAAGCUAGAGAAAAAAUGGCAGGAAUAUGGCCAAUAGACUCCGGGUCAGGGGAAAAUUAUUUAGUGUCAUUUUCCCCUUUGAGAACAGAUGAGUCCUAGCCCAUAUCUCUCUUGAACCUAAGACUAGUCUGUGAGUACCAGAAACAGAUCAUGGACAUGAAGAGUAGACUUGUGUUUGCCGGGCCGGGGGUGGGGGCGGGGGGGAUAAGGGAAUGGAUGGGGAGUUCGGGGUUUGUAGAUGCAAACUAUGACAUUUAGAAUGGAUAAGUAAUGGAGUUCUAACUGUGCAGCACAGGGAACUGUUGCCAAUCUCCUGGGUUAGAACAUGAUGGAAGAUAGUAUGAAGAAAAAAAAAAAAAAGAAUGUAUUUAUGUAUUUAUGUGAUUUAGGCUGGAUCACUUUGCUCUAUAGGAGAAACUGAAGGAACAUUAUAAAUCAACUAUACUUUAAUAAAAAAAUAAUAAAAAACAAAAACUCCACUAGCUGCCUCCCAGCCAUGCUAUACUAGGCAUUGAGGAAGAGCAGUAGUGAUUCUGAAACUGCCCCAGUGCAAGGUCUGGAGUGAUGAUCAGAGCUCUUGCAAAGAAAAAGAUAUCUUAAGGUUAAGUCGAAAAGAGGGGAAUUUUGAGCAGUAAUUUCCCACAACUUGAGAAGCAAAAGGAAUUGUGUGAAUUGUUACAAUUUCCCCCUCACAAAGCUUUCUGUAGAGUCCUGACAGUCACCCACAAGUCACUUUUAAAGCAAUAGUGUGAGCUAUAAUCCAUUCAAACCAAAAACAUUAGUCAGUCUUAUAAAAUUUACUCAAGUUUUUAAAAGGGAGAUUAAGGAAUGUUUGACACUGCCCCCUGCACAUAGUAACACUCUCAUAAAUCCUCUUUGUAUUCGGCCCUGCCUCUCUGCCCAAGUCUCUCCGGCAUGCUCCUUAGACCCACACCACAGCAGACCUUUUCUUUUGUCCCCUUCCCCAGUGCAUUGUAUGACUGUAAUAUUAUAUUCAGCCUUCCAGGUUCCACUCUUCCUCCCCCAAUCUCUUUAAUUUGCUUCAUGCAUAGCCAUUUCACCAAGCUUCUCUACUUUCUCCAAAGCUGCCUAGUCACAUGCAGGAAAAUAACUCUUUCACAGUAACCCUGAGUUAUAUAUACGCUUGUGUGAUAGGCUAGGAUUGGUUUAUCUCCUCAAAAUACAAGCAAGUGAACCAGUUGAUCCUUGCUAAAUCCUGUCUCCCAAGGAAGGAAGAUAGGUCUACAGACAAUUUGGGGUUACCAAUAUCUUCACAUUAUAGGCUCUUUGGACUUGCUUAGAAGUCCAAAGAAAGAUUCAGGAGGAUGCAUACUUUUAAAAACAUGUAUAAUCACCAUAUGUUCCCCUUGUCCUCUUUGAGUUUCCCAAAUCACAAAACUUUUUACACAAAAGCAUUAUCAAAGGAGAUUUAGUAGGGUGGAUGGAGUAAAGAGUUUUUAAUCACACACCACAUAGAAAACAACUUAAUAAAGCUCCACUGUGCAUUUUCCCCCAAGGUCUCUUUAUAGGUAGGCAAACAGUUAGAAUCUUCUCUUUUUUUACCCCUUCUUGCAGGAAGCCCUUGGCCUUGCACCUGCCUGCUCUCCCUCCUUUAUUAGGCAGAUUUUUCUUCAUCUGCACAAAGCCUGGACCCCUGUAGAAGCCUUGUUCCUACCUCACAGCAGAAUUAUCUGUGUUUAUAGCAAAGCAACCCUCUUCCUACAAAAGAUUUCUCACAUGAGUAGGCAAAAACGUAGCGUUUUCUCCAUAUGUUACCUGUUCUUUAUUAUUUAAAAGGUAAUAGUAUGUUUGUUGAAUUUAAGCAUAUAGAUUCAGAUUCAUCUUUUCAGUGAAUGAUACUAAGAGCCUUGUACCUGCCAGGCAAUGGGCUAGAAGCUGGGGCUACGGCAGUGAGCAAGACCCAGUCACUGUCCUCAGUGAGCUUGUCUGGUAGGGAAGAUGGACAAGAAAACAUACAUUUCAACUCUGAGUGCCAAGUAUGAUAUUGGGAGCAUAUAUUGGUUGUUAGAAAACUUUCCGGAGUCACCCCAUCCUGCCUUGGAGGAGGAAAGUCUAGGAAGGCUUUGCUGAGAAAGUGUUGAGGAGGAGGAUGGAGGCUGCCUUCUGGUAAAGAAACAGCUGGACCAAGAUCCAGAGGGGAGGAGCAUAGCUGUGGUUCACUGUGGUUGUGGCAUGCAAAAAGUGAGGAGAACUGAGCAAAGAGAUGAAGCUGGAGAAGGAAGCAGGGCUGAUCAUACAUGGCCUGCAAUGCCACAUUGACAAGUUUGGGUUGGCUCCUUUGUUUGCCUGAAGUUUGUGGAAGCGAUUUUGAGCAGGCAUAUUUAGAUUUCAAUUUUUUAAAAGGAAGGCCUUCUAGAGCCCAUGGUCUGGGAGGUAAGAAGACCCUUCAGCAGUGCAAAUACUCCGCCUUCUAAAUGUAUUGGUUUUAUUCCAAUGUGCAUCCUUUAUUUCUUGAGAAUUUUGAAGACAGUAUUACUCAAAUAUCUUCUAAGACCACAGUCCCAUUCAUUAUUUAUCUGAAGCUCCCAGUGGCUUUCUUUCUUGUCAGGGAUAUGAAUCUGAAGGAAUAUUAGAGCCCAGAUGAUAACUACCUUGAAUAAAUUAUUAUAAAAUUUUCAACUUUGAAGAAAAUCACCCACUACAAUAAUAAUGCUAGGAGUCUUAAUCUAAUUUUAGUGUUAUUUCCUGAAUGAUUUACAAAAUCCCCAAAUCCUACAAAAAUGUUGAAGAAUGAAGUUGCAUGACCAUUAAUUUCUUUUUCAAGAACAAAUAGCUUCUCUUCUCUAAUGUGAGCAAUAUAAUAAAAAAAUUUUGAAUCUAGUAAGAGAGAUUUGAGCAUAUAGAAAGGAAAUACUUCUGAUAGAAAUAUAUGCCAUUUUUAAUUUGUCAGCAAAAGAACUGUUAAAAAUAAUAACUAAAUAAUGUUGAAUGAUUGCUAUGUGCCAAAUGUGAUCUUUGCACUUUGUGAUUUGAACUCAGAAUAGUCGUGUGAACUACAUACUAGUCAUUCCAUCAUACCCAUUUUACUAACAAGGGAAUAGUGGUCAGGAAAGACAUGUAACUUGCUUAAAGACAUGUAGUUACUAAUUUGAACUAAGUCUGUCUCCAGAGGUUAGGUUCUAUUUCUUAUUACCACAGUCCUUCUUAGAGAUCUUGGGGAUGUUACCCCUGCCUUUGGGUCGAUAUUGGAUACCAGCUUGGCAAAAGGCUAGAGUACAGAUACGUGGAAGAAGACUAGUACAGAAAGGAUAAAUUGUCUUCGAUAAUCCUGUAAUUCCAUUAGCAAUUCCAUAAUUUAGUUUUAACAUUAACCUCUGGAGCCUUCAUUCUUUCAAGACCACCAUCUUUAUCAAAACCUAUGGGGUGUGGCCCCAAAUUAUUUAUUUUUCCUAGAAUAAGGAUUCCAUCCUAUAGAACUACUUUCCAUUCUCAUCAACCUGGGGGCCAUUAUUAACUAAGCAGGACUGAUUACAUCUCCUGACACAAAUUGCUUUCAGUUGUUGGGAAGAUAGUUUUCCAUGGUGUAGAGAGUACAGUGUAAUGGUGAAAAACAGCUCUGAUUUUAAUUCUAGUGCUACCAUUUCCUAGUGGUAUAUUCUUUGAGAAAUAAAACUUCUCAGGACUCCAGUUGCUUCAUCUGUAAAAUGGGGAUAAUAAGACCUACUUUGCAAUGUUCUUAAGGAUUUGAUUGGUGAACAUGAGCAGGCACCUGCCAAGAGUUUGACAAAAACAGCUUUCUUUAUAGUGAAACCUGCUUUCUCUAAUGUUUCCACAGGUUAAAUUAUGACAAUAGGUUUCCUGGCUCUGGCAUACUUUGUUCACAAAUUUUUCCUCUUCCUUACAUGGUAUUAUAUAUGCAACCUUUCUGAAUGAAUGUUUGAUUAAGAGGAUGACAAGCGAUUCUGGUGGUGAUGAUUAGAGGGUAGGGUUUACUGGCUCAAACUGCCAUCUAUAAAAUGUGUCUAUCAGAAUCAGAUGCUCAUUUGGCCCUGUUUCGUGUUCAGAAUUAGGUGGUUUUCAAGUGGGAUGUCAUUUGCUAGAAUCCUGGAGGCCUUGGUCAGUUCACUGUUGGCUUGAACCCAUGCCACAGACUUAACAGGGAUAUCUGCCUUUACGGCUCAGGAAACGGGUUAGUUUUCAGGCACAAAGCCAAGGGUCUGAGUAUAACACACAUUUGAACUCAAACAAAUAACAAGUUUAUCCCCUUGUUUUUGGUUUAUGGGUUGAUUGAUUUUUACAGCAGGAGGCUUAUUACAGGAUCAGCCAGGCUCCUUCCCUGGAAAUCUGUGGAACUGGUGACUAUUCCUUCCCAUGCACAGUGCCACCCAGAUGACCUAAAAGACUUAGUGAUUCCCUCUCUUUUAGAUGUAGUUCACAUGCUAUAAAAUCAACCAUUUAAAAUGUACAAUUUCAUGGUUAUUAUAUAUUUUUAAGGUUGCACAACCAUCACCACCAGACUUAGUGAUUCUUACUUUUCCAAAUACAUAUACCUGAUGGAAAAACAAAAAUCUUCGUUAAUAUCCACUUACUUUAAAUAAGUUGCUGGUGCAAAAAAUUAAAUCCAGAAUUCUGUUUGCAGUGCUUUGCUUUUCAGGUCACUUGAAUUUGCAAAUUAAAAUUAGUUCAUUAAUAUGAAUUACAAGCAUAUUGCUUUUUAUUUAGAUAUCUUCUCCUCUUUCAAUGAUAACAGAAGUAAUUGUGAAAUGCAUAGAGCCUACAUGCAUUUUAUUCUUUUGUUUAUGAGUAUAUACAACAUACAUUCAGAAAAAUAUCCUUCUGGAGGGUAACACACAAGCCCACACAAUUCUAUUACCUUGCAAUAUUUUCUUGUCAGGUAGAGGUAGAAGUGUAGGUACUUUUGUUGCUUCCAUGUUUUAGUGAUCCCACUCAUAUCUGGCACUAUGACAUUGUCUUUUUAAAGUGGAGAUUUUUGAAAGACUAGACAAAUAGGUUCUAUGGUUUGUAUAUAAAAAAAUACUAUGGACCAACCAUAUCCAAGUAGAAUUGUUUUCCACUACUAGUGAAGGAUUGAUAUCAAUGGCACAGUUAAAAGUCCCAAGCCAGAUGAGAACCAGACAGUUAAUGCCAUUACAGACAGCACUAUGUAGGCACAAACAGCCCUUCCAUUAUUGGAUGAUAAUACACUGGUUACUUUUUCAACGAGGCAUCUUGGAUGAACAAAAGAGUCUAGAUUUCAUAUGACAGGCUAGAGUUUCACACUUAAUUCCUUCGAAUAGUGAUAAAAAUGGUGGUGAAGAAUGAAGGCCAUGCUGAUUGCAGUUCAACAAUUCUAGUAGUUCCAGGGGUACUAGUUUCCAUUUCAUAAUCAUAACCAAUAAUGGCUUUCACAUUCUAUUGUAUACUGUUCACUUGUUCUAGUGUUUCUUAAGCGUCUACUAUGUACAAAACUUUGAGUUAGGGACCAUUUUGUUAAGAAUCAUAUGAUCCAGUUUCAUAUGACAAAGUUAUGGUUACAAGGCCAAAUUCCAUUAUAAUAGAAUUAAAGUAACAUCCAAAUUAUUUUAUUUCACUAAAAUUUUAUGGUAUUGAAUAUGCUUGAAUAAGUAAGUUACUGGGAUUUUUUUUUAAUAAUACUGAAGUUUAUUAAAAAAACUGAUCUGAACUGUAAUGUAAUACAAUUACAAUCAUAAAUAUAAUUACGAGUAAGUGCUGAGGGAAUACAGUAGAGGAGACUAAUUAGAGAGAGGUGGUUCUAGGACUCCUCCAAGGGCUUUUGAUUGAUUCAGGGGGAGAUCCUGGUCCUCUCUAGACUUUUUGCUCCCAGGGGACACUCCUCCACUGAAAAGUUAAAAUGCAGAAGCAGAGUCUUUGCAUCUGCACCCAAAUCACAAGGAUCUUUUGGGUCCAGCUUUUAAGAGUAUCACCUUAUUCCUUUAAAAUUAGUCAAUUAAUUUAAAUAAAACAAAAAUAAAUAAUAGAAAAUAUUUUCCAUUAAAGAACUUACCUUUGAGACUUCUGACGAAGGUUUUCCACAAUUUUAAAAAGUAGCCUUUUAAAAUGAAUUGACAUCCAGAUGACUGGGGUCAAACCCGCAAACUCUGUUGAAGAGGCCUCUCUUAACAAUGGAUCCCAUAGUUAUGAAACAUUAAUAGGUCCUGAUAUGGCUCUCAUUAGGGCACCAUGGUCACUCUAAUCU
RNAcentral lists this long non-coding RNA (6199 nucleotides) under Sus scrofa (pig). RNAcentral describes it as "lncRNA (ENSSSCG00050068706.1)". Lineage: Eukaryota; Metazoa; Chordata; Mammalia; Artiodactyla; Suidae. The record is from RNAcentral.